ACUCACUAUUUCCCAAACCUUCUCACUCACAGAACCUUUUCAGUUCCUGUUCUUUGGAAACACUUUGGGAAAUUUUUGAGGCCAGGAGUUCCAAGCUGCAGUGUGUGAUUAUCGUGUCUGUGAAUGGCCACGGCACUCCAGCCUGGGCAACAUAGCAAGACCUCAUCUCUUUAAAAAAGACAGGUCUGAGCAGCUCCUAGGGGCCAAUCCCUAUUCGAGGCAACAGCAGAGGGAAGACAAGAAGAUGGCUACAUGCACCCACCACCUGACUGCAGCAGCUCACAGGCCCCCCAGGGCUGGCAUUGCCUGACCCAGGGAAUGUGGCAAGGGGUGCCACCAAGGCAAACACAGGAGGAAUCUUUAGACGGUGUGCUGGUCCCCACACCAGCCUCUGACUUGAAGUGCCUCCAUUCCCCUAGCAAAUGCAUGAAACAAAAGUUGUGCAGGCCUCACGUCUGAUUGAUUCUCUUCUCUUUGUGGACAUACGUUAGACUUAGAAAUAAACUCGUAUUAAAAGAUA
Long non-coding RNA from Homo sapiens (human), 520 nucleotides. RefSeq lists it as uncharacterized. Lineage: Eukaryota; Metazoa; Chordata; Mammalia; Primates; Hominidae. The transcript has 2 exons. The record is from RefSeq and is a predicted model, not a curated record.